This 71-nucleotide transfer RNA is filed under the name Serratia phage BF. It matches the Rfam family "tRNA". Rfam says of the family: Transfer RNA (tRNA) molecules are approximately 80 nucleotides in length. Their secondary structure includes four short double-helical elements and three loops (D, anti-codon, and T loops). Lineage: Duplodnaviria; Heunggongvirae; Uroviricota; Caudoviricetes. The record is from Rfam by way of RNAcentral. RNAcentral also lists the same sequence under 2 other names.
AGGAGAUUGGCCGAUUGGUCAGGCAGCGGAUUCCAAAUCCGUCUAGGUGGGUUCAAUUCCUACAUCUCCUG